RNAcentral lists this long non-coding RNA (2885 nucleotides) under Homo sapiens (human). RNAcentral's name for it is "HSALNT0181509". The record is from RNAcentral. Lineage: Eukaryota; Metazoa; Chordata; Mammalia; Primates; Hominidae.
GGGAAUUUUACAUCGAUUUGAAUGCCACUGUUUGUAUUUGCCUUCCCUUAGGAGUUAACUAGAGUCCUUCUAGCAUUGAUUAGCUCUAUCUGGUUUCCUAAUGGAGUAAACACAGGGCCCCUUGAAUAUCGACUGGAAUUUAACAAAUAUACCCCUUACAAUACCAAAAUCGGCCACAGGACAAGGUGUUUACACGCACAGGCCACUUCUGCCUGAACUCCCAGCUGGGAUGCCUUGCGACUUCCCCUUGGGCAGCUGCUGCAGCCCAGCCGCUCUGAAAAGAACUCAUGAAUCAGUGGGACUGUUUAUAGUUUUUCCUUUUUAAUUUUGAGGCAGGAGUGAUUAAUUUGAGCCUCGUUGAGGCAAGGGACAAAUAAGUGCUGAUAAUGGCAAGACCUAAGAAGGGUUGAGUUCCUGCCAGGCCUGGGCCUCCCAGAGUGUCUCUGAACUGGUUGGGCCCACCUGCAGGCUUCUUCCCACACCCAUCCCAAGGACCCCUUUGAGCAGAGACCUCACAACCCUGCCUGGCCAAUGCAUGGAGCUGGGACUGUGUCCUUCAUCCCACCCUCCACCUAAACUUGAAUUUCCGCUGCUGCGAGUCACCAAGGUCCUCUCUACCUGCCCCUCUUCCCAUUGCCUCUGCAUUCAAUCCUUGGGCUGUCCUGGGCCCAUCAUCCAGCCUCUCGUAGCACAGGCCUGCUCUGCCUCUCAGCUGCUUGUUCCAGGCAUAGCCUCCUGAACUCAGGUCCGCUCUCCUAAGAAGACUGCAGCCGAGUUGAGGGGGGCUGAAGGCGAGGGGUCAGUCAGGUGACCCAGGGUGAUCCCUGCUUGGGGCUCAACUGCUUUUAAUCCGCCCCCCCAGGGAAAUUCCAGAAUAGCAAUAAAAUAAACCAGGGGAGAAAAACGAAAGUCCCAGUAGCAACGGAUUGGUUAGACCUCUGGCUUGACUCAUUAAUGAAGUACAGCUGGUCUGGCAGAAAGAGCUCCUGCUCUCUUUUGGGAACCAGCCCCUUACGUCCAUCCUUUCCAAGCAAGACCUCCCUCCCAGGGCCUCCCCAUCUCAUCUGGAGCAGGAGCAAGAUCCGGGGCCAAGCCGCUCAGCGUUCCAGAGGGCACUAAGGUACCGGCAGCCUCCUUCUGAAUAGAGGAAUCCAUAGCGUCUGCCCCAAAAAUCUACCCAAGAAGGAGGCACAGCAUGCACCCCAGGACUAAGCUGCCGAUGGAGAGGAACCUGUUCACAUAGACCACCACGCCUCCCUCCCUCCUUCCUUUCUCCAACCUCAGAAGCUGUGGAAGCCAGUGGAGCUUCCUGUGGGUAAAAAAUUCAAUCAAUCAACCACCCACCCAACACCCAUGGAGCAUGUCUUUUGUUCAAGUUCUGAGGGGGACACAAAAGAGCAGGCAGGCCACAGCUAUGCUCAUUAAUACGUCAGCUGCUUGGAACUUGGCAUGUAGAGCUGUGUUAUUCACAGCAGAAAGUUUCCUAGGCCAGCCUGCCAAAAAAAAAAAAAAAAAAAAAAAAUCACUACUAAAUGUCCCCGGCAUUCAGUACCAGAAAGGAAGAGUACUCUUGGGCACUCAAGACUGCUGAAGCUCACAUCCUGUCUCCAACACUUGCAGGCUGUGGGCCUGGAUGAGUGACUCCAUCUUGCUAUGCCUCCAUUUUCUUGUCAGUAAAAUGCGAACCAUGAACAUGCUACCAGAUUCUUGUGAGGAUUAAAUGAAUCUGUGCAGUGAGACACUCAGAAGAGCACCAAGUGUUCAAUAAACAGCAAUGAUGGUCUUCAACGUGUCACUGCAAAAGCCAAGCCAUACAGAAUAGAAGGGUGCUGUGGGAAAGCGCCCCUGCCAGGAGGAUGGCCAGUGCUGGAGGCUCCUCCCCACCUUCACCAGCCCCAACUGACUGUGACUUCGGAGCUCAGGGUAGGGCUGGCAGACGAAGAGUCUGGGAAAGACAAGAAAAGCAAAGGGACACCAUGCCCAGGGGAAGGGGCAUGGAGCCAUGGGAGAGGGACUUCCUGAGACUGAACUGCCCAGAGAAACUUCUACUAGGGGCUUUUCACUUCGGGGGCCAAUUGUAGAAAAGAACACAGUGUCCCCAGUCUGACAAACUUGAAAAUACUUUCUGAAAAGGGAACGAGUAUACACUGUUGGUGGGGAUGCAAAUUAGCUCAGCCCCUGUGGAAAGCAGUUUGGAGAUCUCUCAAAGAACUAAAAAUAGAAUUACCAUUUCACCUAGCAAGCGAACUGGGUCUAUAACCAAAGGAAUAGAAAUUACUGGGUAUAUACCCAAAUAAAUAGGAAUCGUUCUGCCAAAAAGACACCUGCGCUUGUAUAUUCAUGGCAGCACAUUCACAAUAGGAAAGAUGUGGAAUCAACCCAGUUGCCCGUUAACAAUGGAUUGGAUAAAGAAAAUGUGGUACAUCUACACCAUGGAAUACUACACAGCUAUUAAAAAGAAGGAAAUUAGAUCCUUUGCAGCAACAUGGAUGCAGCUGGAGGUCACUCUCCGAAGUGAAUUAACAUAGAAACAGAAAACCAGAUACCACAUGUUCUCUCUUGUAACUGGGAGCUAAACAUUGUGUACACAUGAAUACAAAGAAGGGAAAAAUAAACAUUGAGGAUUCCAAAACAGGGGAGAGGUGGAGGGGAGUAAGGGUUGAAAAACUACCUUUUGGGUACUGUGUUCACUAUUUGGGUGAUGGGAUCAUUAGAAGCUUAAACCUGAGCACCAUGCAAUAUACCCAUGUAACAAACCUGCACAUGUACCUCCUGAAUCUGACAUUUAACAAUAAAUACAUUCUAAGAAAAAAGGAAAAUACUUUCCGAGGUUAACUUUUCUUUUUUUCUGCACACCAUGGAGAAACAAAUAAGAUAUUAAAGCG